UAUCCUGUGCAACUGUGAGCUAUUGCCUUUCAUUGCAUGGCCAGUCAACUCUGGACCAACACAAACGUUGACGAGACGUCCCACCAGAUGUCUUGGCAGCUGCAGGUGUGCUGGUGUUGGGAGUAAACAGCCAGCAUGUAAAUGUCUGCCUACAUCUUUCUUUCUCCGAUAAUUUUGUUUCGUGGUUGGCAUAUUGCACAGCGAACAAUUCUUUCCAUUUAAUUCUAUUGCUAUCAUCUGUCUUGCUGACUUGCAAAUGCGGGGGGAUGGUGGUGCUCGAGCUAAUAUUGUGAAAAGCAUCAAAAGUUGGAUUGGAACAAGAGUGGAACAGAUUUGUUGUAUUGUACUCGCCUUAUUCCUGUCUCAUUAUAUAAAAGGUGCUAAACUUCCCUGAUCUACUCGAACGAGCCUCACCAUCCCUCAAACCAAUGCAGACAAGCCUGCUGCAAAUUCCCUUUCCUACACCCACACAUAAGACGUCAACAAGGCAGAGGCAGACACCUUCCCCAUGCCAGCCUGCAUCCACCUUCUGUGAGGUCUCGCAGAAGAUCGCCCUUUAUGUACUCACUGUGGCAGCUGCGCCAACACCCAUCUAAUCAUGUAGAUAUGUGGUCCUGCACUCCCUUAUGUCACCUCCCUAUCCCUGCCCCUGCAACAAGAAUACCUGGCAGCAUAUGCCUUAUCGUCUUAUCAUCACGUAAGCUUGCAUAUGUGGCCUGCUUAUUAAUCUGCUCAGCAACAAUAAAGUUUUCUGUCUCUCUCUUCCUCCCUCUUCACACAACUCGAACACCACCACUGAAAUGACUGUGCUCAUGUCCAAAGCAAAUACCGAGGAGGAAACAUCUAUGCACGUGCUAAACUUCUGUUCUAACUCUCGGAAGUUAUGGCAGCUGCAACGCCUUGAUGGGCGUGGAGAGCUGAAAUACCCCUGCACCGAGCUAUCCCUGCACGUUCGGCCUGGAGCCUUCAGUGGCCGUACCCAUCAAACACAGGGCAAGCGUGCAUCAUGAUCAGACUGGCUCAAGACGGUGAGUGUUCUUAAUUGAAGUGAAAGGUGUGGCUUAAACAGACACUCUGAUAUUUUCCUCCCAGACAGCAAAUGAUGCUGCCUGUGAAACCAUUCCAUUGUAACAGUACAUUGUACUUUUUUAUUUUGCUGUAUAAAGUUUGUUACUGUUGUCAAUUCAUGGCUCCUUUCUCUGCUCAACAACUGGCAUAUGCUGGGCAUUAGGAGACUAACUUUUGCCACCCAACACACAGUGAAUACUUUAGAGGAAUACUGACAUAAUGGGGAUUGUAUAAACUUGUGCGCUUCUGGUAUGUAAGAGGAAGACACUUGACAAGUGUGAAAGUUGGGAAACAGUUAUAAAAUACCAAAGUUUUAUACUGAAGUUGGUCUCAAUAUGCCAGACUCAUCAUCAUCCAGAACUAUCAUGGCACCAAGUAAAAUUUUCCAAUAUUGUGCAGCAAUAAAGCUCGGUAUGAUGAUGUUGUCAUUAAAGGACUGCCAUCUGCAUUUCUUAUUGCCGCACUUGCGUGUGCAAGCCGUGGCUGUUGCAGGAAUGG
This is a long non-coding RNA of Dermacentor silvarum, 1566 nucleotides long. RefSeq lists it as uncharacterized. The record is from RefSeq and is a predicted model, not a curated record. The transcript is spliced from 3 exons. NCBI's taxonomy places the organism in Eukaryota, Metazoa, Arthropoda, Arachnida, Ixodida, Ixodidae.